RNAcentral lists this long non-coding RNA (756 nucleotides) under Solanum tuberosum (potato). Its description in RNAcentral is "long non-coding RNA (STUB_LNC009037)". The record is from RNAcentral. Lineage: Eukaryota; Viridiplantae; Streptophyta; Magnoliopsida; Solanales; Solanaceae.
AACUUAAAAAUAAAAACCCGUCUUAUUAACAUGGAAGGACUUGGAAAUCGACAGUAAUUUCUUUAUCGGCCAAUUUUGACAUAUAAAAAUAUAAACAUUAACUAAAUUUCCGUCUUUAAAAAUGGGAAGGUCUCCAAAAUCGACGGAGAGAUUUUCUCAUUCGCCAAUUUUGAACAAACAAAAUAUAUGAACUUAAACUAAAUUUCCGUCUUUAAAAAUGGGAAGGUCUCCAAAAUCGACGGAGAGAUUUUCUCAUUCGCCAAUUUUGAACAAACAAAAUAUAUGAACUUAAACUAAAUUUCCGUCUUUUACAAUGUAAAGGCUUCCAAAACCGACGGCGAGAUUUUCUCAUUGGCCAAUUAAAUAUUUUUCUAACAUGAAAUCAUAUGAAACUAACUAAAGGAAAAUAUAUGACAAUCAAAUUAUAACAACAUAACAAAACAAUAAUAAUUAAAAAUGAUAACAUAGCAACACGAUUUUCUGCAAAGUCAUAUGUGAACAGUGUGCAAUAAAUAACCUUAACAAAUUUAAUAAAACAUAAAUGAGUUCAUCAAUAAAAAUACAAAACAAUAACGACAACCAAAAUAAAAAUAUACCACUCAUGAAUAUUAAUCAAGUAUAAAAUAAAAUUAAAGGGUAUCUAGAUAUUUACAAUCAUUGUAAAUAAAACAAAGUGACCAAUAAUGGCCAUAAACUAAACAAAAUAAUGAAAUAGGCAGCAAUAUAAUUCACUUGAAACUUUAGAAAAGAUAAAAA